UGGGGAAUUUUGGACAAUGGGCGAAAGCCUGAUCCAGCAAUGCCGCGUGUGUGAAGAAGGCCUUCGGGUUGUAAAGCACUUUUGUCCGGAAAGAAAUCCUUGGCUCUAAUACAGUCGGGGGAUGACGGUACCGGAAGAAUAAGCACCGGCUAACUACGUGCCAGCAGCCGCGGUAAUACGUAGGGUGCAAGCGUUAAUCGGAAUUACUGGGCGUAAAGCGUGCGCAGGCGGUUUGCUAAGACCGAUGUGAAAUCCCGGCGCACUAGGCAUGGAUGUGCAUGCUGGCAGGCUAGAGUAUGGCAGAGGGGGGUAAAUUCCACGUGUAGCAGUGAAAUGCGUAGAGAUGUGGAGGAAUACCGAUGGCGAAGGCAGCCCCCUGGGCCAAUACUGACGCUCAUGCACGAAAGCGUGGGGAGCAAACAGGAUUAGAUACCCUGGUAGUCCACGCCCCUAAAACGAUGUCAACUAGUUGUUGGGGGAUUCAUUUCCUUAGUAACGUAGCUAACGCGUGAAGUUGACCGCCUGGGGGAGUACGGUCGCAAGAUUAAAACUCAAAUGAAUUGACGGGGUCAUAGCUGUUUCCU
This 584-nucleotide ribosomal RNA is filed under the name uncultured bacterium. RNAcentral's name for it is "partial 16S ribosomal RNA". It matches the Rfam family "Bacterial small subunit ribosomal RNA", at positions 355 to 1375 of the family's 1533-position model. The record is from RNAcentral.